Long non-coding RNA from Lutzomyia longipalpis, 2623 nucleotides. RefSeq lists it as uncharacterized. Lineage: Eukaryota; Metazoa; Arthropoda; Insecta; Diptera; Psychodidae. The transcript has 2 exons. The record is from RefSeq and is a predicted model, not a curated record.
CGAGGUAGUAUUGAAGUCAAACUUGUUGUUCCUGGUUGCUAAAUCUGCUGGAUUUUCCGUUCCAGGAACCCAAUUGCACAAGCGGGGUGGUCUUCCAUCUUCGCGCAAUAUGCCUUUGCAAGUUCAUCGUCCUGAUCCAGCUUUUUCUCAACUGCAUACAGUCUCUUCAAUGCCAUUUCUUUCGAUGACGGGACACUUGGAGGAUCCACCUGCUUCCAUAGCAGGCCAGUUUCAAAGCGCCCAUCCGGAGUUUUCUUUGUUGUUCGCUGCAUAAUUUCCAGUGCUCUCUUGUCUUCACGUGAUAGCGCCUUUCCGGGCACUCCCGUAUCAUGAGACUCCAUCACGAAAGUAUUUUUCACCAUUUCCAUCAGUUCAUCAUGUCGCUCUACAAUGGAAUAGAGCUUUUCCUCAGCGGGAGGAUUUUCAACACACAUUUUGCCCAUCACUACCCAACCCAGCAAUGUACGGACAAGGUAAGGGGCAUGCCAUGGUCCCUUGAUAAUCUCCAAACUCGAGAUAAGAGGCGUGUUGUCCAAUCCAAUCAAUAUCUCGGGUACGGCGUCCUCCAUGGAUUCUACCGGUGCUUCCGCGAGAUGUUUCCAGUGGCUGGACAGUAAGGCAAUGUCCACAGUUUGUUUUGGCAAAGUCAAUUCUGCCACAGUGCGCACAUUUUUCAACAAAUAGCGCUUUGCACGAGGGAAAGUUCCCUGGAUUCUGCACUCCACAAUCCUUGAAGUCAGAUCAGAACACAUUUCCGGAACGGCUCCUUGCCAUGUCAAAGGUGCAUUGCGUCCAGUGACGCCCAAUCGAUCAGCCAACGAUUGCUUCAUCAAAGUAAGUGUAGAUCCCUCAUCCAGGAAAGCGUACACCUUAAAUGUUCCAUUUGGUCCCAUAAUAUGAACGGGAAGAAUUUUCAUCAAAGUUUUAUCCGGUAUUGCCACGUGUGCCACUGUGUUGGCUGGAGGUGUCUCUGCCCCCUCCUGUGAAGGAGGCUCCUCUACUGUGACAUUCAAUGAUUCAUCUGUUGAUGCAUUUUGUACCACCGGGGAAGCAUCCUUGUGAAGUAAAGUAUGAUGCGGUGCCUUGCAGUUGGGCUUCGAACAUCCAUCUUUAGCUUUGCAGUUUGUCGCUGAAUGAUUUGGCUUCAGACAUCGGAAGCAAACCUUUUUAUUUUUGGCGAGAUUCCACCGAUCUGCCACAGAAAGUUUCCCGAAGGUGUCGCAUUUGUGAGGAGGGUGAGUCCCCUGGCAGAAAGCGCAUAUCGCUUUUGGUGCCUUUUCAUUUUUCUGUUCUGUAACUGUAGCUACAGUUUUGCCUUUUUCUGGUUUCUUUUCCACACGUGUCGACUCUUGUACCUGGAGCCGGUAAUUUGCCGCCUUGGCUUUGACGGAAAUCCAUGCAGAGAAAGUUCGCAGUCCCUGUGUUGGAGAUCCUUUAGUGACGCAGAAUUCCGACCACGAAAUUUGCAUGGCCAGAGGCAAUUUCGGCAAUAGCUCGUCCAAGAGCUGAGGAUUAUCGAUGUAGCAACCUCGAUUGAAGCGCACAACGGCAGCAACCAUGUUUGAGAGAGCCACAGAGAGCUUAACCAAAGUCUCUGGCUUAUCAGCUUUGACGGGUGGCAUCGCUUUAAUCUGAGCAAUCAUCGUCCUGAUCAGGUGCUCAGGUUGUCCAUAUCUCUCCUCCAGCGAUGACAUAAUCAAGUCCACAUUUUCGGGUGAGUACAGCAAGAAUCUCACUGUCUCUUUUGCCUCUCCUUGUAGGCAUUUUUGCAACAAAGCAAGCUUUUCAGCACUCGCAUAUUGACACGUUGUCGUCAAAUUCUCGUACCAGGCAAGAAACAAUGGCCAAUCCUGCACAUUUCCAUCAAAUUUGUGAGCAUCCGUACCCACCGAUUGCCUCAUCAUAAGACGUUCCAUCAUUUGAACCAUAUCCUGAUUCUGCUUGACGGGCUUUUGCUCCUUCCCGGCAUUCACAGCCGCCUCCAGAGCGCAUUGAAGGUCAUCAGCUGACAUAGUGACGAUCUUCUGUUUUGGAACUUCCUCUUGAUGCUCCUUUGAUGAGUUCCGGAGUUUAUCAAAUCUCCCUAGAACCUCAUCCAAUUUGUCCUCCGACAAGUCAAUCUGGUUAUUUUGAGACGCUUUUUCAGUGUGAUGGUUGAGCUCAUCAUUGCCCAACGGAGAAUCUUCCUGUGCCUUGAGAAGACUACGACGCGUUUUCAAAUUGCUGAUUUCCAGCUUCAACAUCUCCAAUUCUAAUUCUUUCUGCUUCCUCUCAGCAUCAAGAUCAUCAUUUUCCUCAAAACCAUAGCGAUUCGGAGGAACACCUUUAUUUUGUCGUUUGCUCCUACGGGGCGCCAUUUUGUCAAAUCAAUCAAUGUACCACACACCGCAGAUCCGUGGGUCGCUUUUUCGAUCUUUGGGUCGAUGGACCAAUUGUUAGGGAUCGCAAUUCAAGUAGUGGACUGUAUUUAUAUUUUAUUUCCAAAGUUAAUCUACGGUGUGGGUGGGUGGCAAGGAUGGCAAAUAAAUGAGUUGUAUUAGGCAAAUGAGGUCCAAUGGCGAAAGUAUGUGAGGGAUUCUGGAACAAAUUCUUCUGAUUAAAUUCUUUCUAAAUGUGCUUCAAA